Molecule: ribosomal RNA, 450 nt
Filed under: uncultured bacterium
Lineage: Bacteria
Description: bacterial SSU rRNA
Rfam family: Bacterial small subunit ribosomal RNA
Source: RNAcentral
UCGAGAGGCUUCGGCAAUGGGGGAAACCCUGACCGAGCGACGCCGCGUGAGGGAUGAAGGCCCUUGGGUUGUAAACCUCUUUUGUUCGGGAAGAAGUGCGAUCAGGUGAAUAAUCUGGUCGUUUGACGGUACCGGACGAAUAAGCUCCGGCUAACUCCGUGCCAGCAGCCGCGGUAAUACGGGGGGAGCAAGCGUUGUUCGGAAUCACUGGGCGUAAAGGGAGUCUAGGCGGCUAGGUAAGUGGAACGUGAAAUGCCUCGGCUCACCCGAGGACCUGCGUCCCAAACUGCCUGGCUUGAGUAUGGGAGAGGGUGUGGGAAUUCCUGGUGUAGCGGUGAAAUGCGUAGAUAUCAGGAGGAACACCGGUGGCGAAGGCGCACACCUGGCCCAAUACUGACGCUGAAGCUCGAAAGCUAGGGGAGCAAACGGGAUUAGAUACCCCUGUAGUCC